RNAcentral lists this ribosomal RNA (574 nucleotides) under uncultured bacterium. RNAcentral describes it as "bacterial SSU rRNA". It matches the Rfam family "Bacterial small subunit ribosomal RNA", at positions 242 to 858 of the family's 1533-position model. The record is from RNAcentral.
UAGAUAGUUGGUGGGGUAACUGCCUACCAAGUCAACGAUGCGUACCGGACUGAGAGGUUGAUCGGCCACACUGGGACUGAGACACGGCCCAGACUCCUACGGGAGACAGCAGUUAGGAAUAUUCGGCAAUGGGCGAAACCGACCCGAGCAAUGCCGCGUGUGAGAUGAAGGCCUCUGGUUGUAAAUCACUUUUAUUAGGGAAGCGGUACCUUUUGAAUAAGCCCCGGCUAACUACGUGCCAGCAGCCGCGGUAAUACGUAGGGGGCGAGCGUUAUCCGGAUUUAUUGGGCGUAAAGCGUGUGUAGGCGGUUUAUUAAGUCCGAGAUGAAAGGCUGAGGCUUAACCUCAGUUUGUUUCGGAAACUGGUAGACUAGAGUGCAGUAGAGGCAAUUGGAAUUCAUAGUGUAGCGGUAAAAUGCGUAGAUAUUAUGAGGAACAUCAGUGGCGAAGGCGAAUUGCUGGGCUGUUACUGACGCUGAGACACGAAAGCGGGGGAGCAAAUAGGAUUAGAUACCCUAGUAGUCCACGCCGUAAACGAUGAGCACUAAGUGUCGGGCGGUGCUGAAGUUAACAC